AGAGUUUGAUCAUGGCUCAGAACGAACGCUGGCGGCGUGGAUCAGACAUGCAAGUCGAACGGGGUUAAUUUGGUAGCAAUACUAGGUUAACCUAGUGGCGAACGGGUGCGUAACACGUGACCAACCUGCCUAGAAGUGGGGGAUAGCUCGGCGAAAGCCGGAUUAAUACCGCAUGUGAUCGCAAGAUUAAAGCAGCAAUGCGCUUUUAGAGGGGGUCGCGGCCUAUCAGCUAGUUGGUGAGGUAACGGCUUACCAAGGCAGCGACGGGUAGCUGGUCUGAGAGGACGACCAGCCACACUGGAACUGAGACACGGUCCAGACACCUACGGGUGGCAGCAGUCGAGAAUUUUUCUCAAUGGGGGAAACCCUGAAGGAGCGACGCCGCGUGGAGGAUGAAGGCUUUCGGGUUGUAAACUCCUGUCAUCUGGGAACAAAACUCGCAAGAGCUUGAUAGUACCAGAAGAGGAAGAGACGGCUAACUCUGUGCCAGCAGCCGCGGUAAUACAGAGGUCUCAAGCGUUGUUCGGAUUCAUUGGGCGUAAAGGGCGCGUAGGCGGCGGGGUAAGUCUGGUGUGAAAUCUCGGAGCUCAACUUCGAAAAUGCACUGGAUACUGCUCUGCUAGAGGAUUGGAGAGGAGAUCGGAAUUCACGGUGUAGCAGUGAAAUGCGUAGAUACCGUGAGGAAGACCAGUGGCGAAGGCGGAUCUCUGGACAAUUCCUGACGCUGAGGCGCGAAGGCUAGGGGAGCAAACGGGAUUAGAUACCCCGGUAGUCCUAGCAGUAAACGGUGCACGUUUGGUGUGCGCGGAUUCGACCCCGUGCGUGCCGGAGCUAACGCGUUAAACGUGCCGCCUGAGGAGUACGGUCGCAAGAUUAAAACUCAAAGAAAUUGACGGGGCCCGCACAG
Molecule: ribosomal RNA, 907 nt
Filed under: uncultured bacterium
Lineage: Bacteria
Description: bacterial SSU rRNA
Rfam family: Bacterial small subunit ribosomal RNA
Source: RNAcentral